UGGAAGUGGGCCAGAAUCCAUUUCUGUUGCAUGCAACCAGAUGCAAGCUGAGCUGUGUCUUCAGAAGAGUGGAAAGAAGGGGAGAGCAGGGAGAAAGAGCCUCUCCACCCAGAAGCUGCAGGGAGGCGAGGAGGGCAGAGCCCCGCUCAGCCUGAGUCGCUGACACUAAAGAUGUUCCUGACAUACCAAGGCCCUCCGUCAAGUCUCAGUGAAGAAACGAAAUGAACCGUGCAUGCCUGAAAAGUAAAGAUACUCACACAGCUAUGACAGGUGUUUGUGGUGUGCUCCACAACCUUUCAGGGCUGGAAAUUACACAUUUCUUCUCUUUUUGAGAUCAAAUAAGUUUGGCCCAGCAGCUCUUGGCUUUCCAGGACUACCACAGGCCCCUCUGGGGUUUUCGAAGAACACUGAGGCCUGGCAAUUUGAAGAAGGGUCACUGGUCCCCACUCCUCCAGGCUGCUGUUGCUGGCGUGUCCUGCCCAUGCAGGAGUAGCCCUGGGAAGUGGGUGCCCUUGGGCACGCUACUGAUGUUCCCGCCAAGCCCUCCGGGUGUGCCUCUGUCCCCCUGGGGAGCUGAGUUUGGCUGAGAGCCCCUGAUGCCACCUGCCUCUGCCCCUACCCCAGUUCUGGCAGCAGCUUCCCCCUUCCCUUGGGGCACCUGCUCCUCCUCCCUCCCUGACUUGGGUUUGAAUCUUGAUGAAACAGCUGGCUGACUAGGGACACGUGUGCCUUACCUCCCUUCACCUCAGCUUCCUCCUCUGUAAGAUAAGGACCCUAAUGCCAUGUGGCAGGUUGUGAGAGGAUUAAAUAAGGAAAUGCACUUCAAGUGUUUAGCUUAGAGUCUGGGGCCUAAGAUGUGGUCAGUUAAUGUUAGUUAAAAUGAAACCAAGGAAACCCCAGCUGUGCAGGACAGACAUGAUUAGGAGGGAGCAGGCAUGCCUGCUACGGGCAGGUCAGAGGUGGCUUGGGGUCAGCGAGUCGACUUCCUGGAGGAGGUGGUCCUGGAAGGACAGAUGGGAUUUGAAUGAGGCACAAGGGUGGACAGCUCCAGGACCAGGGGUCAGCCUGGCAUCCCUCACCUGGAAGGAAAUUGCUGGGAAGUCUCUUGAGAGCAGUGACCAUUUCCCAUUCCCGAUAACCGCAUGUGGGGGUCCUACACCAACCCACCACAACCUCACCGAUGCCGAGCGCUGUUGCGCAUUCACACUCCGGUCACUCUCGUGGGUGUGCCGUGGCACCUUCAUGUGGUUUGAAUCUGCACGUUCCUGUAGGUGAACCGUGCUGAGCCUUUCUUCAUGUGCUUAUUGGCCAAGGGUGUUCAUUCCUUUGUGAAGAAUGUGUUCAAAUCUUUUGCUCAUUAAAAAAAAUUCGUUGUUGGU
RNAcentral lists this long non-coding RNA (1379 nucleotides) under Homo sapiens (human). RNAcentral's name for it is "HSALNT0151760". Lineage: Eukaryota; Metazoa; Chordata; Mammalia; Primates; Hominidae. The record is from RNAcentral.